GGAUUAGUGGCGAACGGGUGAGUAACACGUGGGCAAUCUGCCCUUCACUCUGGGANAGCCCUGGAAACGGGGUCUAAUACCGGAUAACACUCUGUCCCGCAUGGGACGGGGUUGAAAGCUCCGGCGGUGAAGGAUGAGCCCGCGGCCUAUCAGCUUGUUGGUGGGGUAAUGGCCUACCAAGGCGACGACGGGUAGCCGGCCUGAGAGGGCGACCGGCCACACUGGGACUGAGACACGGCCCAGACUCCUACGGGAGGCAGCAGUGGGGAAUAUUGCACAAUGGGCGAAAGCCUGAUGCAGCGACGCCGCGUGAGGGAUGACGGCCUUCGGGUUGUAAACCUCUUUCAGCAGGGAAGAAGCGAAAGUGACGGUACCUGCAGAAGAAGCGCCGGCUAACUACGUGCCAGCAGCCGCGGUAAUACGUAGGGCGCAAGCGUUGUCCGGAAUUAUUGGGCGUAAAGAGCUCGUAGGCGGCUUGUCACGUCGGAUGUGAAAGCCCGGGGCUUAACCCCGGGUCUGCAUUCGAUACGGGCUAGCUAGAGUGUGGUAGGGGAGAUCGGAAUUCCUGGUGUAGCGGUGAAAUGCGCAGAUAUCAGGAGGAACACCGGUGGCGAAGGCGGAUCUCUGGGCCAUUACUGACGCUGAGGAGCGAAAGCGUGGGGAGCGAACAGGAUUAGAUACCCUGG
RNAcentral lists this ribosomal RNA (686 nucleotides) under Streptomyces badius. RNAcentral describes it as "bacterial SSU rRNA". It matches the Rfam family "Bacterial small subunit ribosomal RNA", at positions 89 to 790 of the family's 1533-position model. Lineage: Bacteria; Bacillati; Actinomycetota; Actinomycetes; Kitasatosporales; Streptomycetaceae. The record is from RNAcentral.